This 77-nucleotide transfer RNA is filed under the name Serratia entomophila. Its description in RNAcentral is "tRNA-Lys(ttt)". Lineage: Bacteria; Pseudomonadati; Pseudomonadota; Gammaproteobacteria; Enterobacterales; Yersiniaceae. The record is from RNAcentral.
CCGCCAUUAGCUCAUCAGGAAGAGCAAGCGACCAUUUUAGUUGUAGGUGCGGGGUUCGAGACCCCGAUGGCGGUCCA